Molecule: unclassified non-coding RNA, 249 nt
Filed under: Hevea brasiliensis (rubber tree)
Lineage: Eukaryota; Viridiplantae; Streptophyta; Magnoliopsida; Malpighiales; Euphorbiaceae
Source: RNAcentral
UUAAACUUGGAAGAAGAGAUGCUAGAACUGCAAGCCGCUCUGCUGCCAAUAAUGGCAUUCCACCUCCCACUUCUAACUUGAACCAACUCAUCUCAAGAUUCAAUGCCCUUGGCCUUUCAACCAGAGACUUGGUUGCAUUAUCUGGAGCGCACACAAUUGGACUAGCAAGGUGCACAUCGUUCAGGACUAGAAUAUACAAUGAGACAAACAUAGACAGAUCCUUUGCUCAGACAAGGAGAUCAAACUGCC